This is a long non-coding RNA of Homo sapiens (human), 1510 nucleotides long. RefSeq lists it as uncharacterized. The record is from RefSeq and is a predicted model, not a curated record. The transcript is spliced from 2 exons. Lineage: Eukaryota; Metazoa; Chordata; Mammalia; Primates; Hominidae.
AGUUCGCAGCUCUCUUCCACUCGCGGCGUCCAGAGGAGGGCGGUGGGCUGGAGAGCGUGGGCCUGGGGUGACGGAAUGCUCUGUGCGGGGAUCGCAGGCCCCCGAGCUGCAGGGGGCAGCAAAGCGCGCCCACCUGCCCGCCUGCCCGAGGAGAACACCGCAGCUCUGCUAAUCGAGGGACAGCCGCAACCCAAAGUUCGGCAGCUUUCCGCCUGAGCUUCCCCUCCCUGAGCGAGGACACUGGAGGGAGGCAGAGACGGAGAGCCCAUGGGCAGAUCUGCAUCCUCCAAAAGCCUCCAUAGCCUCUGGGAAGGAAAUGUAUCGAGGAGGCCUGGAGGGAAGCAGGGAGACACCCAUGAGUCUAAUGAGAUCAAGUGGCCUGAGUGGGUUGAAGUCCUUGGAUCAGACCGUGGAAGCUGGAAUGGAGAGAGAUUUCGGAGGGGCAGCCAGACCUGAUGGACAAUAGGAUUCCCAGACAAGCAAAAGAGGUUUCCCUCCCUUACUUCUCCCAGGCCAUCCUCAUCUCUGCAGCAGCCCAAAUGGGCUCCCUGUCUCCUCAUGGCAGAUAAAACGAUGUUUUAUAAUUACGAUCCUGUCACUCUUCCUCAUAGGAGUGCCGCCAACCCAUUGCCCUUGAGAUGGAGACCACCUCUUUGGUAUUGCAAAGAAGGUCCUUCGUAAUCAUCUAUCCCUCAUCCUCACCCUUCUGCUCCAUUUGAAAGGCCCUCCAGAACAACAUGUCAUUCCUGGGAACCAUCUUUGGUAUUGCAAAGAAGGUUCUUCAUGAUCAUCGUCCCCCAUCCUCACCCUCCUGCUUCAUUUGAAAGGCCCUCCAGAACAAUGUGUCACUACCAGAAACCAUUCGCUAUCUCUGUUCCUUGUUUGUAUUUCUGCACUGGAAAUGGCCUUACAGCUCCACACUCAUCCUUCAGACAUGCAGCUCCUUGGUGACCCCAUCUGCUGGGUGCUGGCCUAUGUCACAUCCAGGUUGCUUUUUAUUCAUUGUCUCAUCUACCAGCCCAUGCCUCCCCAAGGGCAGGGCUGGUCCUGGUUCACUAACCCAUCCCCAGCACCCAUUGGAAUGCUCUAGACUUCAGCCCAGUGAGUCACUAAGAAAGGACAGAUACCUUGGCAGAAGAGCUGAGGAAAGCCCAGGUCCCUGUCUUCAGGCCAAGGCUCUCUUCCCAUUUGACCAACCCUGGCAUAUGUGUGUGUGUUGCAUUGAGGAAUUAUUUCAAGGUAUCUUUGAAUCCAUUCGGAUUCUUGGCCAGGUGCAGUGGCUCACACCCAUAAUCUCAGCACUUGGGGAAGCCAAGGUAGGCAGAUUGCUUGAGCACAGGAAUUCAAGACCAGCCUACAAAAAAUAAUAAAAAAUAAAUAAAUAGUCCAUUUGGAUUUUUAUAUCAUCUAUGGAUAGGAUAAAUAAUAUGCCUCAUAAUAUAUGCCCUAAUAUUUUUCAAAUAUAUGUAGCUGCCUCUGUGAUGAAUAAAAUAGAAAUAAUCUAUUUAAA